This 397-nucleotide ribosomal RNA is filed under the name Lactiplantibacillus plantarum. RNAcentral's name for it is "bacterial SSU rRNA". It matches the Rfam family "Bacterial small subunit ribosomal RNA", at positions 995 to 1392 of the family's 1533-position model. The record is from RNAcentral. Lineage: Bacteria; Bacillati; Bacillota; Bacilli; Lactobacillales; Lactobacillaceae.
ACUUUCCAGAGAUGCUUUGGUGCCUUCGGGAACUCUGAGACAGGUGCUGCAUGGCUGUCGUCAGCUCGUGUUGUGAAAUGUUGGGUUAAGUCCCGCAACGAGCGCAACCCUUAUCCUUUGUUGCCAGCGGUCCGGCCGGGAACUCAAAGGAGACUGCCAGUGAUAAACUGGAGGAAGGUGGGGAUGACGUCAAGUCAUCAUGGCCCUUACGAGUAGGGCUACACACGUGCUACAAUGGCGCAUACAAAGAGAAGCGACCUCGCGAGAGCNAGCGGACCUCAUAAAGUGCGUCGUAGUCCGGAUUGGAGUCUGCAACUCGACUCCAUGAAGUCGGAAUCGCUAGUAAUCGUGGAUCAGAAUGCUACGGUGAAUACGUUCCCGGGCCUUGUACACACCG